CUGUUGUUCAUUCAAACUUGAUCCGCUCGGUGGGCGGGAGCUGAGCGCGGGAUUGUCGUCACCGCUGACCAAUCACAGCGCUCCAAGGAAGAGGCAACGGAUAUACAGAAGCGCGGGCCAAUGGAGCCGCCCAUGUGAAACUGGGGGUCGCCACAGCGGAUCAUCUGCCUCCAUCUUGUCCCAUCCCCUGUGUCUUCUUCUGUUACACCAACUGUCCUCUUGUCCUUCAUAACAUCCAUGAUCCUCUGUGGUCUUCCUCUUUUCCUCCUCUUUCUACAAUACAAAUAAAGCUUCAGCAUUUUAAACACUG
Molecule: long non-coding RNA, 310 nt
Organism: Solea solea (common sole)
Lineage: Eukaryota; Metazoa; Chordata; Actinopteri; Pleuronectiformes; Soleidae
Exons: 2
Source: RefSeq, a predicted model, not a curated record